Molecule: small nucleolar RNA, 89 nt
Filed under: Suricata suricatta (meerkat)
Lineage: Eukaryota; Metazoa; Chordata; Mammalia; Carnivora; Herpestidae
Description: Small nucleolar RNA U3 (ENSSSUG00005023386.1)
Source: Rfam by way of RNAcentral
AAGACUAUACUUUCAGGGAUCAUUUCUAUAGUUCAUUAUUCCAGCUCAUGCUGACAGCAUCCUUCCGGAAACUCCCUCAGUAGCAGAGU